Molecule: ribosomal RNA, 257 nt
Filed under: uncultured archaeon
Lineage: Archaea
Description: partial 16S ribosomal RNA
Rfam family: Archaeal small subunit ribosomal RNA
Source: RNAcentral
UGACAUUAGACUACCCCGUAGUCCAGCCGUAAACAAUGUGCGUUAGGUGUGUCGGUAACCACGCGUUACUGAUGCGCCGAAGAGAAAUCGUGAAACGCACCACCUGGGAAGUACGGUCGCAAGGCUGAAACUUAAAGGAAUUGGCGGGGAGCACCACAACAGGUGGAGCCUGCGGUUUAAUUGGAUUCAACGCCGGACAUCUCACCGGAUAAGACAGCUGAAUGAUUGUCAAUCUGAAGGUUUUACAUGACUAGCUG